UGGAUGAUACCUUUACCGGAUCAUACUAACGCUACUAAAAAAAUAUGUUUUUUGCCUUGAUUAAAGUAAUUUAACAGGGACGAAAAG
Regulatory RNA element from Listeria monocytogenes EGD-e, 87 nucleotides. It matches the Rfam family "pan motif". The record is from Rfam. Lineage: Bacteria; Bacillati; Bacillota; Bacilli; Caryophanales; Listeriaceae.